AUUGAACGCUAGCGGGAUGCUUUACACAUGCAAGUCGAACGGCAGCGCGGACUUCGGUCUGGCGGCGAGUGGCGAACGGGUGAGUAAUGUAUCGGAACGUGCCCAGUAGCGGGGGAUAACUACGCGAAAGCGUAGCUAAUACCGCAUACGCCCUACGGGGGAAAGCAGGGGAUCGUAAGACCUUGCACUAUUGGAGCGGCCGAUGUCGGAUUAGCUAGUUGGUGAGGUAACGGCUCACCAAGGCGACGAGCCGUAGCUGGUUUGAGAGGACGACCAGCCACACUGGGACUGAGACACGGCCCAGACUCCUACGGGAGGCAGCAGUGGGGAAUUUUGGACAAUGGGGGCAACCCUGAUCCAGCCAUCCCGCGUGUGCGAUGAAGGCCUUCGGGUUGUAAAGCACUUUUGGCAGGAAAGAAACGUCGCGGGCUAAUACCCCGUGGAACUGACGGUACCUGCAGAAUAAGCACCGGCUAACUACGUG
RNAcentral lists this ribosomal RNA (484 nucleotides) under uncultured bacterium. Its description in RNAcentral is "partial 16S ribosomal RNA". It matches the Rfam family "Bacterial small subunit ribosomal RNA", at positions 30 to 507 of the family's 1533-position model. The record is from RNAcentral.